GCCGCCCCCUCCCCGGCGCGCCCCGCCGAACAAAGCCCCCGGCAGCGCUCACCGGCAGCCUCUCGCUGUCUUCUGCCCUCGCCCAGCGCUCCUCCUCCCGCUGAGAAGCCGGCGCAGGGGUGCGGGCCCGAGUGCGGGAGGUCACCCCGCUGCGCAGCCCAUUCAGCGGCGCCGGCCGGGUGUCCCCCUCACAGCGCCCGCGGCCGCGCCCCGGCUCACUCCGUGCGCUCCAGCUCCGGGCAGCGGCUUAAUCUCCAAACUUCCUCCUCCUCCCGGCCGGGCAGAGGAGUCUGUGAAACUCCCCUCCUCCAUGCAGCUCCUGCAGCCCAGCCGCUGCCUCAGCCCCUCCCCGGGGCGGCCUGGCCCGGCUCUGGGCUGGGGCUUGCUUUGCUCUCCUUCCCCUCCCUACUCCGCCGCCCCCAGCCCCCGAGGCUGGGAAAAGGGGGGGAAGAGAGAUUAACCAUUCGGAUUUGUCUCUGGAAUGGAGCCAAAGAGAGCAGUCGGAAUACAGCCCCGGGAAGAAGGGAGGAAAAGGGAAUGGGGGAUGAAAAAACAAAAAAAAAAUGAAAGGGGGGGAAAAAAUCCGCUACUGCUUUCACGCAGGGAGAAGCGCUGGGCUGUCCUGCACUCCCCGUGUGUCAGGUCACAGCCGCUCCGCCCGGCUGCAAGCCCCAUCCCCGCCUCGCCUCGCUGCCCACGGGCUCCUCUCCACCACCACAGUCCCAGUCUUCCUGCCAUGGUUAAAAAGGAAAUCUGGAAGUAGGAAACAAGUCAAGAUGCAGCCCCCUCUUUAUAUAAGGAGACUAUAUUCCAUGUUUCUCUCCUUGGAGUACAGCAAAGAAUAUUCUCAAGUUAAAGAGACAAAGUCAAUGCUACAAUAGAAGAUUGGCAAAAUAAAGUUAAUACUUCUUCCCUAGAGGCCUCA
RNAcentral lists this long non-coding RNA (925 nucleotides) under Parus major (Great Tit). RNAcentral describes it as "lncRNA (ENSPMJG00000009202.1)". The record is from RNAcentral. Lineage: Eukaryota; Metazoa; Chordata; Aves; Passeriformes; Paridae.